GUGCUGGUAUUGGCAGCACAUAUUCUAAAAUUGGAUACAGAGAAGAUUAGCAUGGUCCCUGCACAAGAAUGACAUGCAAAUUCAUAAAAAACAUUCCAUAUUUUA
Molecule: small nuclear RNA, 105 nt
Organism: Gorilla gorilla gorilla (western lowland gorilla)
Lineage: Eukaryota; Metazoa; Chordata; Mammalia; Primates; Hominidae
Source: Ensembl